GAUAGAGGGUGCAAACGUUGUUCGGAAUUACUGGGCGUAAAGCGCGUGUAGGCGGCCAUGCAAGUCGGAUGUGAAAGCCCACGGCUCAAUCGUGGAAGAGCACCUGAAACUGCGUGGCUAGAGUUCUGGAGAGGAAGGUGGAACGCUUGGUGUAGAGGUGAAAUUCGUAGAUAUCGGGAGGAACACCAGCGGCGAAGGCGGCCACCUGGACGGAUACUGACGCUGAGACGCGAAAGCGUGGGGAGCAAACGGG
Molecule: ribosomal RNA, 253 nt
Filed under: uncultured bacterium
Lineage: Bacteria
Description: partial 16S ribosomal RNA
Rfam family: Bacterial small subunit ribosomal RNA
Source: RNAcentral